CCCUGACUCCUUGAGAGUCCUGAAGGAACGUUGAAGACGACGACGUUGAUAGGCCGGGUGUGUAAGCGCAGCGAUGCGUUGAGCUAACCGGUACUAAUGAACCGUGAGGCUUAACCUUA
RNAcentral lists this ribosomal RNA (119 nucleotides) under Escherichia coli. Its description in RNAcentral is "23S rRNA. Bacterial LSU". It matches the Rfam family "Bacterial large subunit ribosomal RNA", at positions 2813 to 2925 of the family's 2925-position model. The record is from RNAcentral. Lineage: Bacteria; Pseudomonadati; Pseudomonadota; Gammaproteobacteria; Enterobacterales; Enterobacteriaceae.